Molecule: ribosomal RNA, 329 nt
Filed under: Cylindrotheca closterium
Lineage: Eukaryota; Bacillariophyta; Bacillariophyceae; Bacillariales; Bacillariaceae
Description: SSU rRNA
Rfam family: Eukaryotic small subunit ribosomal RNA
Source: RNAcentral
GCUCGUAGUUGGAUUUGUGGUGUACUUCGGCGGCCCGUCACUAUGUGAUGGAGCUUGCUGAAGUCGCCAUCCUUGGGUGGAUCCUGUGUGGCAUUAAGUUGUCGUGCAGGGGAUGCCCAUCGUUUACUGUGAAAAAAUUAGAGUGUUCAAAGCAGGCUUAUGCCGUUGAAUAUAUUAGCAUGGAAUAAUAAGAUAGGACCUUGGUACUAUUUUGUUGGUUUGCGCACCAAGGUAAUGAUUAAUAGGGACAGUUGGGGGUAUUCGUAUUUCAUUGUCAGAGGUGAAAUUCUUGGAUUUUUGAAAGACGAACUACUGCGAAAGCAUUUACC